AAAAAAAAAAAAAAAAGAAGAUAAACCAGUUCAAAGACACAAAUUUUGAAUCCAAAAUAUCGCAUUUCAACUUGAUUAGAACCCGUGUACCACAUCUUGUAUGUAAGAAAUGCUGCUAUACAGUUUGCCUCACUGGGACAUUUGAUCAAGUACCUUAUGGACAUUUUCGGGUUCGACUGCACAACUGUUAAUUCUGAACUUCAAAAUUUGAUUCGACUUCUUGGAAGUUGAAACGGCCUUAAAAUGGUGGCCCAGAGGAGGCUGGAGUUUCAGACAGUAUGCCAUUUGGUCAACGGCUUCAAUACUAUUUCUGGAUUUUGAUUCUACUGUCUAUCGAAACACUUUCUUCGCAGGUUGUUCCGUUACUGUCCAUGUGAGUGCAAUUGCGUGUACGCCUGUGAGUAGGUGGGGGAUGGGAGAUGACGUGAGAACUUUGGCAAUAAAAGAACAACAGAAUCAUGCUCAUCCGUCAACAAAUGUGUACAAAAUUACAAGUAGCUAAAUUGCAGGACAACACUUUCUACA
This 525-nucleotide long non-coding RNA is filed under the name Olea europaea (common olive). Its description in RNAcentral is "long non-coding RNA (OEUR_LNC009031)". The record is from RNAcentral. Lineage: Eukaryota; Viridiplantae; Streptophyta; Magnoliopsida; Lamiales; Oleaceae.